UGCUAUACAUGCAGUCGAACGCUUCUUUCCUCCCGAGUGCUUGCACUCAAUUGGAAAGAGGAGUGGCGGACGGGUGAGUAACACGUGGGUAACCUACCCAUCAGAGGGGGAUAACACUUGGAAACAGGUGCUAAUACCGCAUAACAGUUUAUGCCGCAUGGCAUAAGAGUGAAAGGCGCUUUCGGGUGUCGCUGAUGGAUGGACCCGCGGUGCAUUAGCUAGUUGGUGAGGUAACGGCUCACCAAGGCCACGAUGCAUAGCCGACCUGAGAGGGUGAUCGGCCACACUGGGACUGAGACACGGCCCAGACUCCUACGGGAGGCAGCAGUAGGGAAUCUUCGGCAAUGGACGAAAGUCUGACCGAGCAACGCCGCGUGAGUGAAGAAGGUUUUCGGAUCGUAAAACUCUGUUGUUAGAGAAGAACAAGGACGUUAGUAACUGAACGUCCCCUGACGGUAUCUAACCAGAAAGCCACGGCUAACUACGUGCCAGCAGCCGCGGUAAUACGUAGGUGGCAAGCGUUGUCCGGAUUUAUUGGGCGUAAAGCGAGCGCAGGCGGUUUCUUAAGUCUGAUGUGAAAGCCCCCGGCUCAACCGGGGAGGGUCAUUGGAAAC
RNAcentral lists this ribosomal RNA (614 nucleotides) under Enterococcus faecalis. RNAcentral describes it as "bacterial SSU rRNA". It matches the Rfam family "Bacterial small subunit ribosomal RNA", at positions 45 to 633 of the family's 1533-position model. Lineage: Bacteria; Bacillati; Bacillota; Bacilli; Lactobacillales; Enterococcaceae. The record is from RNAcentral.